GGUAAUACGUAUGUCCCGAGCGUUAUCCGGAUUUAUUGGGCGUAAAGCGAGCGCAGACGGUUUAUUAAGUCUGAUGUGAAAGCCCGGAGCUCAACUCCGGAAUGGCAUUGGAAACUGGUUAACUUGAGUGCAGUAGAGGUAAGUGGAACUCCAUGUGUAGCGGUGGAAUGCGUAGAUAUAUGGAAGAACACCAGUGGCGAAGGCGGCUUACUGGACUGCAACUGACGUUGAGGCUCGAAAGUGUGGGUAGCAAACAGGAUUAGAUACCCUGGUAGUCCACACCGUAAACGAUGAACACUAGGUGUUAAGGAGGUUUCCGCCUCUUAGUGCCGAAGCUAACGCAUUUAAGUGUUCCGCCCUGGGGGAGUAC
This 370-nucleotide ribosomal RNA is filed under the name Leuconostoc mesenteroides. Its description in RNAcentral is "bacterial SSU rRNA". It matches the Rfam family "Bacterial small subunit ribosomal RNA", at positions 519 to 883 of the family's 1533-position model. Lineage: Bacteria; Bacillati; Bacillota; Bacilli; Lactobacillales; Lactobacillaceae. The record is from RNAcentral.